RNAcentral lists this ribosomal RNA (253 nucleotides) under uncultured bacterium. RNAcentral's name for it is "partial 16S ribosomal RNA". It matches the Rfam family "Bacterial small subunit ribosomal RNA", at positions 524 to 776 of the family's 1533-position model. The record is from RNAcentral.
UACGAGGGGAGCUAGCGUUGUUCGGAAUUACUGGGCGUAAAGGGCGCGUAGGCGGUUCUAUAAGUCAGAUGUGAAAGCCCCGGGCUUAACCUGGGAGGUGCAUUUGAAACUGUAGGGCUAGAGAUCGAGAGAGGAAAGUGGAAUUACGAGUGUAGAGGUGAAAUUCGUAGAUAUUCGUAAGAACACCAGUGGCGAAGGCGACUUUCUGGCUCGAUACUGACGCUAAGGCGCGAAAGCGUGGGGAGCAAACAGG